UGAUGUGGCUCAAUGGCAGAGCGACGCAUUCGUAAUGCGUAGGUUGGGGGUUCGACUCCCCCCAUCA
This 67-nucleotide transfer RNA is filed under the name bovine gut metagenome. It matches the Rfam family "tRNA". Rfam says of the family: Transfer RNA (tRNA) molecules are approximately 80 nucleotides in length. Their secondary structure includes four short double-helical elements and three loops (D, anti-codon, and T loops). The record is from RNAcentral.